Myodes glareolus (Bank vole) is the source of this 3188-nucleotide non-coding RNA. Lineage: Eukaryota; Metazoa; Chordata; Mammalia; Rodentia; Cricetidae. The record is from RefSeq and is a predicted model, not a curated record.
UUCAUGAUAUUUUCUUUGUAGUCUUUGAUGAUUUGACAGAUGCACUCAGACAGAAUUCCAGUGUUUAAAUAUUGUUGGGUGGCUAAAAAGUGAAUAUACAAAGAAAAGUGAUUCAGUUUCGAAUCUGUGACAUACCCAAGCACUGGGGAUAUGUCUCUCAAAGAGGAACUGCUGGAGACCCAGAGCAGAAAAACUGUUUGAACUUAAACCAAGAAAUUUGGCACAAGAAACCAAAUCUACCCAUGAAGAUGGGUAAAUGGGUAAAAUCAGGCUAUGAAAUGUUCAAGGUAAAUUUGUUGAGAUGAUCCAAGGCAUAAAAGAAUCAACUGUUCCCUUCUUUGGUCUGUUUAGUCACUUUUGUUAAAAGAAAUGUAUGAGGUUCAUAGCUAUAAAUUUUUAUUUUUUCUAGGACAAAACAAAACAGGAAAAACAGAAUUUCAAUUUGAAAAAUAAUCUAUAUUUUUGAAGUAUAGUUUAGGUAACUCAUCAAUAGGUCUUUUAGCAAAUGAUUGGCCUACUUAGGUUUCGGUAAAAAAUUCUUGAAAAGUUGGUCUGAAUAAACUAUUUAAACAGAAUAAUGACUCAAAUUUAUUUACAGAUUUGCAUAUCAGAGAAUUUUCUACUCACAUGAAAAAAAAUUACAGCUGAUUUUUAAAAUAUGGUAUUUUCUUUUUAAACCUUUUUAAACUACCGUAGCCUGAGCGAUGCACUGUGACUAUGAUGACGACUUAUCCAGGAACUGAAAAUCGCUAUGCAAGUCACACUAUUCUACUCAAGCACAUUGCAAAGUCAUCCUCAUUUUAAAGCCUGAUACUAAUGAAGGAGAGUCAUUCACUGGAUAGGUACCAAGUUGACAUGGGCAUAGUAAUGCCAGGAAAUUCAUGCUGCUCUCUUGGGGAUGCUCUCCUGUGGGUCCAAACAAACAGUUCCUGAAAAAAAAUAUAGUUGUGACACAAGGUGGCAAGAAUGCAUCACUGCUUUGUCUCAGAGCUCAAAUAGAAGUUGGUUAAAGCACCCACUCACACAAUAUAGCUAGGGACAAGUGCACAAAACCACACUGCUAUGCUACAGUGCUUAUUUGUACUGUACUUAGCACAGUGGGAUCCUCUCUAAUAAGUCUUGGACACUGAUGGCUAAUUAGGAGUCAAUGACAGAUACUCUACUGAGCAUGCUCCUUAUUGACUUUGCUAGCCGUGUUUCCUUCUGUCAACUUGACACACCCUAGAGUCAUCUGGAAAGAGAAACCUCAGUUGAGAAAAUAGUUUCAUCCCAUUAUCUGUGGGAGAGUCUGCAGGGCAUUUUCUUGGUUAGUAAUUGAUGUGACAGAGCCUAGAGUAGUGUGGGUGGGGCCACCCCGGGCAGGUGGUCCUGGUUUGUCUAAGAAAGCAGCUGAGAAAGUCAUGUGGAACAAGGCAGUGUUCCCUCAUGGCCUCUGUCUCAAUUUCCGUUGCAGGUUCCUGCCCUGAUGUCCUUUGAUGAUUAGCUGUAAGGCAAGCAAACCCUGCACCCCCCCAAGUUGUUUUUCUCUUGUUGUGUUUUAUCACAGCACCAGGGACUGUAGCUUAGACAGAAAUUUGGUAGCAGGAUGGUGGCGUACUGCCGUGACCAUGUUGUUUCGGGGAGGGCUGUGGUGGCAUUUAAACUUUGGGUGAGAAAAAGGUGUUGGGUGAUUAAAGUUUUAAUGAGCUGUGGAGGAAGUUUGGAACAUGGGUAUUACACUCCUGUGUUUCCUCCUUCAGCUCUCAGAGAAUGCCUUUGGCUACGUGACAAGGGAUAUUCAGGCCCAAUAUUUUGAUUCGUUGAGUGUGUAUAUGUGUGUUUAUGUUUGCUGGAUUUGUCAAAAGCAUGAGGCUUUCGCAUUGGCAGAUGGAUUUCCUUCCCUGACAGCCAUCUGAAACACAACAGCUUUUCUUUGUCCAUCUGAAAGCCUGUGUCUUUCUCUGGACCACUUAAUAGGUUUGCUUCCUGUCUGAAGAAUACACUCUACACUUAACUUAUGUGUUGGACAGAAAUGACGGGCAUGUGCUAAAUCAAAUGCAUAACCAAACUUAACAUGAUUUGAACUUCUUCGGGGUCCAUGGCCAUGGUCUGGCUCUUUAAGAUUUGUUUAAUGACACUCAUCAUGCGGCGCCUUCUGUAUUACCAAAGUAUGUCAUAACUUCUACAAAAAUGUUUUUAUUGUAUUUAUAAUAUAACCAAAGGCACUCUCUAGUGUAUGUGGCCUGGUAAGCUUUUGAAUGUCACAGAUCCAAAAUUUAAAAUCUACAGUUCCAACAUAAACAUUCACAGGAAUAUUCAAGGAAUUAUCUAAAUCGAUCACACAUGGAGAGUAGCAGAUUCUUGCUAUUAUACAAUUUCAAGGCUCAGAACUUAAUUCCUUAAACCUUGGCAUCUUUGGCAUGCUAAGAACUUUGAACCAAAUAUUGGAAAAGCCUGAGAGCAGUGUUUCUGCCUUCCUGCCCACCAAUCUCCUCCCACUGUUUUUCUCUUACAAACGAAGAGAAAUCAAAAUUCUUGUUUUCCAGGGCAGGUCACAGAGACCUGAGUACUUCCAUCAGAAGGGUCGCGAUCUUUCUUCUUCCUAGGAGAUCCUCAUUUCAGAAUGGUCCCAUUCUAAAGCAAUCUACCCUGCGAGGUCAAGAAGAAUUGGAGGAGGGAUACAGAGUGACCUUGGGUUCCUGGACCACGGAGGAGUGAUCACCUUGGAGGAAUCAGAUUGAUCCCUUAAGUGAUGACAGAAAUUUUAUUUCUUUGACUACCUUGCAGAACAAGAAUUGAAACAAUGAUCAAAGAGACCACAUCUUGACCAGGUCCAGUUAAUUAUGCACGUUUUGUCCCCUGCCCUAAUUCUUCCUCUACUUAGACUUAAAGUAUAUGACAAUGCUUUGAAGAUGGACUUGGAUCUACCACAUCUCUUUAUGUAUUCUUCUUCCCAAUGUGGCCACACUAAAUAAAUCUCUCCCUGCAUUUCACUGCCAAUUGUCCCUUUAGCUGGUUUAUUGAGGAUGGGUCACUGUCCUUCAUCUGUUGGGGUUGAUGGAGCUCAGGUUUUUGUUGUAAAAACUCUAGUAAGAACUUCAAACCAUGCCUUGUCCUAUUUUCUCUUAAAGCCUAGGACAAGGUUCUCUUUGAAGUUUCCUCAUCCGUCUGAAGGCUAGAGACUUCUGAAAAGUAAUUCAUGGGGGGGG